This is a non-coding RNA of Pelobates cultripes (western spadefoot toad), 341 nucleotides long. Lineage: Eukaryota; Metazoa; Chordata; Amphibia; Anura; Pelobatidae. The record is from the annotation of a GenBank genome assembly.
AUUAUAAUGUAAUAAGGAUCAGGGCUCCCCUCUCCUGCCAGCUGUCACUGUGUGUAAUAUAUCAUAGCGGGGGACACACAGACUGUAUUAUAAUGUAAUAAGGAUCAGGGCUCCCCUCUCCUGCCAGCUGUCACUGUGUGUAAUAUAUCAUAGCGGGGGGGACACACAGACUGUAUUAUAAUGUAAUAAGGAUCAGGGCUCCCCUCUCCUGCCAGCUGUCACUGUGUGUAAUAUAUCAUAGCGGGGGACACACAGACUGUAUUAUAAUGUAAUAAGGAUCAGGGCUCCCCUCUCCUGCCAGCUGUCACUGUGUGUAAUAUAUCAUAGCAGGACACACAGAC